UACAGAGGGUGCGAGCGUUAAUCGGAAUUACUGGGCGUAAAGCGUGCGCAGGCGGUUUGUUAAGUCCGUUGUGAAAGCCCCGAGCUCAACUUGGGAAUUGCAGUGGAUACUGGCAGGCUGGAGUACGGUAGAGGAAGGUGGAAUUCCCGGUGUAGCAGUGAAAUGCGUAGAUAUCGGGAGGAACACCAGUGGCGAAGGCGGCCUUCUGGACCAGUACUGACGCUCAUGCACGAAAGCGUGGGGAGCAAACAGG
Molecule: ribosomal RNA, 253 nt
Filed under: uncultured bacterium
Lineage: Bacteria
Description: partial 16S ribosomal RNA
Rfam family: Bacterial small subunit ribosomal RNA
Source: RNAcentral